RNAcentral lists this ribosomal RNA (2905 nucleotides) under Escherichia coli. RNAcentral describes it as "23S ribosomal RNA". It matches the Rfam family "Bacterial large subunit ribosomal RNA". The record is from RNAcentral. Lineage: Bacteria; Pseudomonadati; Pseudomonadota; Gammaproteobacteria; Enterobacterales; Enterobacteriaceae.
GGUUAAGCGACUAAGCGUACACGGUGGAUGCCCUGGCAGUCAGAGGCGAUGAAGGACGUGCUAAUCUGCGAUAAGCGUCGGUAAGGUGAUAUGAACCGUUAUAACCGGCGAUUUCCGAAUGGGGAAACCCAGUGUGAUUCGUCACACUAUCAUUAACUGAAUCCAUAGGUUAAUGAGGCGAACCGGGGGAACUGAAACAUCUAAGUACCCCGAGGAAAAGAAAUCAACCGAGAUUCCCCCAGUAGCGGCGAGCGAACGGGGAGCAGCCCAGAGCCUGAAUCAGUGUGUGUGUUAGUGGAAGCGUCUGGAAAGGCGCGCGAUACAGGGUGACAGCCCCGUACACAAAAAUGCACAUGCUGUGAGCUCGAUGAGUAGGGCGGGACACGUGGUAUCCUGUCUGAAUAUGGGGGGACCAUCCUCCAAGGCUAAAUACUCCUGACUGACCGAUAGUGAACCAGUACCGUGAGGGAAAGGCGAAAAGAACCCCGGCGAGGGGAGUGAAAAAGAACCUGAAACCGUGUACGUACAAGCAGUGGGAGCCUCUUUAUGGGGUGACUGCGUACCUUUUGUAUAAUGGGUCAGCGACUUAUAUUCUGUAGCAAGGUUAACCGAAUAGGGGAGCCGAAGGGAAACCGAGUCUUAACUGGGCGUUAAGUUGCAGGGUAUAGACCCGAAACCCGGUGAUCUAGCCAUGGGCAGGUUGAAGGUUGGGUAACACUAACUGGAGGACCGAACCGACUAAUGUUGAAAAAUUAGCGGAUGACUUGUGGCUGGGGGUGAAAGGCCAAUCAAACCGGGAGAUAGCUGGUUCUCCCCGAAAGCUAUUUAGGUAGCGCCUCGUGAAUUCAUCUCCGGGGGUAGAGCACUGUUUCGGCAAGGGGGUCAUCCCGACUUACCAACCCGAUGCAAACUGCGAAUACCGGAGAAUGUUAUCACGGGAGACACACGGCGGGUGCUAACGUCCGUCGUGAAGAGGGAAACAACCCAGACCGCCAGCUAAGGUCCCAAAGUCAUGGUUAAGUGGGAAACGAUGUGGGAAGGCCCAGACAGCCAGGAUGUUGGCUUAGAAGCAGCCAUCAUUUAAAGAAAGCGUAAUAGCUCACUGGUCGAGUCGGCCUGCGCGGAAGAUGUAACGGGGCUAAACCAUGCACCGAAGCUGCGGCAGCGACGCUUAUGCGUUGUUGGGUAGGGGAGCGUUCUGUAAGCCUGCGAAGGUGGCCUGUGAGGGUUGCUGGAGGUAUCAGAAGUGCGAAUGCUGACAUAAGUAACGAUAAAGCGGGUGAAAAGCCCGCUCGCCGGAAGACCAAGGGUUCCUGUCCAACGUUAAUCGGGGCAGGGUGAGUCGACCCCUAAGGCGAGGCCGAAAGGCGUAGUCGAUGGGAAACAGGUUAAUAUUCCUGUACUUGGUGUUACUGCGAAGGGGGGACGGAGAAGGCUAUGUUGGCCGGGCGACGGUUGUCCCGGUUUAAGCGUGUAGGCUGGUUUUCCAGGCAAAUCCGGAAAAUCAAGGCUGAGGCGUGAUGACGAGGCACUACGGUGCUGAAGCAACAAAUGCCCUGCUUCCAGGAAAAGCCUCUAAGCAUCAGGUAACAUCAAAUCGUACCCCAAACCGACACAGGUGGUCAGGUAGAGAAUACCAAGGCGCUUGAGAGAACUCGGGUGAAGGAACUAGGCAAAAUGGUGCCGUAACUUCGGGAGAAGGCACGCUGAUAUGUAGGUGAAGUCCCUCGCGGAUGGAGCUGAAAUCAGUCGAAGAUACCAGCUGGCUGCAACUGUUUAUUAAAAACACAGCACUGUGCAAACACGAAAGUGGACGUAUACGGUGUGACGCCUGCCCGGUGCCGGAAGGUUAAUUGAUGGGGUUAGCGGUAACGCGAAGCUCUUGAUCGAAGCCCCGGUAAACGGCGGCCGUAACUAUAACGGUCCUAAGGUAGCGAAAUUCCUUGUCGGGUAAGUUCCGACCUGCACGAAUGGCGUAAUGAUGGCCAGGCUGUCUCCACCCGAGACUCAGUGAAAUUGAACUCGCUGUGAAGAUGCAGUGUACCCGCGGCAAGACGGAAAGACCCCGUGAACCUUUACUAUAGCUUGACACUGAACAUUGAGCCUUGAUGUGUAGGAUAGGUGGGAGGCUUUGAAGUGUGGACGCCAGUCUGCAUGGAGCCGACCUUGAAAUACCACCCUUUAAUGUUUGAUGUUCUAACGUUGGCCCCUGAUCGGGGUUGCGGACAGUGUCUGGUGGGUAGUUUGACUGGGGCGGUCUCCUCCUAAAGAGUAACGGAGGAGCACGAAGGUUGGCUAAUCCUGGUCGGACAUCAGGAGGUUAGUGCAAUGGCAUAAGCCAGCUUGACUGCGAGCGUGACGGCGCGAGCAGGUGCGAAAGCAGGUCAUAGUGAUCCGGUGGUUCUGAAUGGAAGGGCCAUCGCUCAACGGAUAAAAGGUACUCCGGGGAUAACAGGCUGAUACCGCCCAAGAGUUCAUAUCGACGGCGGUGUUUGGCACCUCGAUGUCGGCUCAUCACAUCCUGGGGCUGAAGUAGGUCCCAAGGGUAUGGCUGUUCGCCAUUUAAAGUGGUACGCGAGCUGGGUUUAGAACGUCGUGAGACAGUUCGGUCCCUAUCUGCCGUGGGCGCUGGAGAACUGAGGGGGGCUGCUCCUAGUACGAGAGGACCGGAGUGGACGCAUCACUGGUGUUCGGGUUGUCAUGCCAAUGGCACUGCCCGGUAGCUAAAUGCGGAAGAGAUAAGUGCUGAAAGCAUCUAAGCACGAAACUUGCCCCGAGAUGAGUUCUCCCUGACUCCUUGAGAGUCCUGAAGGAACGUUGAAGACGACGACGUUGAUAGGCCGGGUGUGUAAGCGCAGCGAUGCGUUGAGCUAACCGGUACUAAUGAACCGUGAGGCUUAACCUU